ACACCCUCGGAUUGACGUGCGCACGCGCACCGGUUACCUUCAGGAGCGCCGAAGAAGGAAAGAAGACUGCCAGCUCCGUGACAGCAAGAACCUUGUAUGACUUUUUCAUGAUGGAUGUUCAUCUGUGCCAUCUGUAAAUAUUGAAUAAAUAUUUGUGGAAUACAUGAAUCUAAAAGUGAAUGGAAUGAUAAAGAGGGAAAGGGUCAUGACAUCUACUACAGCAUUUGGCACAGACCCAGGUUUCCCUGGUACUGGUAAUUCCCAGCAGCUUUCUACAAUUCCAAAGACCUCCCUGCUCCAGAAGCAAGGGGGCAGCCACAGCCCCACAGCCUCUAGCUGCUGGCUGCUCAGGGCACGCAGGCUUGCUAUUGACAAGUCUGAAUCAUGACUGAUGAAGGGAGUGCUCUCUCCCUAGAAAACAACUUGGCAACUUUCUACUUCAAACCCAGGCUCACUACAGAAUUUCUUACCACAAUGACUUUCUUGGCAGCUGUCUGCAGUACUAUCAAGAGAUGACAUGGACUUCAAGGAUCAAACAGGGGAGAAAAAGGCUUAAAAGAAAAACAAGUCUCCAUCAAAGGUAAUAACCACAAUGAGAACUAUACAUAGCUAUGUGCUUAUAGGUCUUAGUUCACAUUCCCCUCAUUAAAAUUAUAGCUCAAGAAAUAAAGGGCUGUUUAAUGACUUGGGUAUAUAAAUAUACUUCAUUUGUAUAUUUUUUACUUGCUAAAAUCUAUCCAAAUUGGUAUUACCUCAAACCAUAAUCUUCUACUGUAUUUUAUAAUUUUACUUUAUUGCCAUGUAUUUUUCCCACUGAUGUUCACAAAUUCACAGGAAACAUCAGCCAUGUACUAAAUAAAAUAUGAAUUGAAUCGACAAA
This 880-nucleotide long non-coding RNA is filed under the name Homo sapiens (human). Its description in RNAcentral is "ERICH2 divergent transcript". The record is from RNAcentral. Lineage: Eukaryota; Metazoa; Chordata; Mammalia; Primates; Hominidae.